CAGUAGCCGCGGUAAUACAGAGGAUGCAAGCGCUAUCCGGAAUGAUUGGGCGUAAAGCGUCUGUAGGUGGCUUUUCAAGUCCGCCGUCAAAUCCCGGGGCUCAACCCCGGAACUGCCUUUGAUACUGGGAGUCCUGAGUUCGAGAGAGGUGAGUGGAAUUGCGAGUGUAGAGGUGAAAUUCGUAGAUAUUCGCAGGAACACCAGUGGCGAAGGCGGCUCACUGGCUCGAUACUGACGCUGAGGUACGAAAGCUAGGGGAGCAAAUGGGAUUAGAUACCCCCGUAGUCCCUGUCUCUUAUAC
This 301-nucleotide ribosomal RNA is filed under the name uncultured bacterium. RNAcentral describes it as "partial 16S ribosomal RNA". It matches the Rfam family "Bacterial small subunit ribosomal RNA", at positions 509 to 807 of the family's 1533-position model. The record is from RNAcentral.